ACAACCUCUCCAGCACUUUUGGUUAAGAUCAAGUGUAGUAUCUGUUCUUAUCAGUUUAAAAUGCAAAUUCUUAAAAGCUACUCAUGACUGCUUCCUUCCACUCUCUCCAAGGGCAUGCAAUGGCCUUUGAAGUGAGAACCAGCA
This 144-nucleotide small nuclear RNA is filed under the name Meriones unguiculatus (Mongolian gerbil). Its description in RNAcentral is "U2 spliceosomal RNA (ENSMUGG00000020873.1)". Lineage: Eukaryota; Metazoa; Chordata; Mammalia; Rodentia; Muridae. The record is from RNAcentral.